GUUUGGACUUCUGAGGAUCCAAAAGCCCAAGAAAAAAAUCUGAGUUCUCACGACAAAGUCACUUCCUGCUACAACACCUGGAAAAUGUCAUGACCCGAGCUAGUCUCACUUCAGAGUCCCUGGUUUCUAGUACGGUGCCUGACAGAUAGAUGACUUUCUUUAUAUGUUGCUGAAGACAGGCAGAGAGGAAGAAAGGAAGAGAGGAUAAAGGGAGGAAUAAACUUGAUAUAAGCAUCUUUGCAUAAUUAACAACUGGGUCAAAUUUUCUUCAUUUCAUUGAGAUUCUUGAUACAAGCCUCUGCUGAUGAAUUGGAUUCCAAAAAGAUAUUGUUGUCCAGGCCACACCAUACGGGACUUACCACUCCCAGUUGCUAACAUCUGCACGUAUUUGCCUGGAGGUCUCCUCUGGUCACCAGAUCCUACUCUGCCUGGGCCACAUGACAAGGUGAUGUGCUGAGGAACAAAAGCCCCCAGGAGUAUCCCUCAAGCAGUGUUGGACUGGAGUUGAGCAGGUCAUGAUCCACAUGAAAAACUGAGGGAAGACAUCCAGGACCUGCUGGAGAGCACAUGGAAAAAAGUUGGGACACAGAAAAGGAAAGCAGCAAGAGUCGGGCAGAGAUUGAUCCCCAAGGAACUUGGAAUACCAUGGGAAAGGUAGGUAGGGGUGUUUCUCCACUCCCCUCACCUCUGUGAUAAACUGCUGACAGCCAAAAUGUCAGGGAGCCUCUUUGCCCUUGCAGGCCUAGGCAAUGCUGUCAGUGGCAAUUUUCGAUCUUCCUGGGGAUAGAGCACCAAGUGACCACCUUGGGCAGGUGUGCUCACACUCCCCUCAGACUCACACUGAGACAGCAGAUGCCAUACUGAUUAUGCACCCAUGGUGGGCCACUGCCCUCCUCAAGGAACCUCAGCCCUUGUGUCACCACAUCACCACAACCCCCACAAAUAUACC
This 949-nucleotide long non-coding RNA is filed under the name Homo sapiens (human). Its description in RNAcentral is "HSALNT0194186". Lineage: Eukaryota; Metazoa; Chordata; Mammalia; Primates; Hominidae. The record is from RNAcentral.